CGUAACGCGUAUGCAACCUACCUUAUACAGGAGGAUAGCCCAUGGAAACGUGGAUUAAUACUCCAUAGCAUCAUAGUAUUGCAUAAUACAGUGAUUAAAACUUCGGUGGUAUAAGAUGGGCAUGCGUAGGAUUAGCUUGUUGGUGAGGUAACGGCUUACCAUGGCAACGAUAGGUAAGGGGCCUGAGAGGGUGAUCCCCCACACUGGUACUGAGACACGGACCAG
Molecule: ribosomal RNA, 225 nt
Filed under: uncultured bacterium
Lineage: Bacteria
Description: partial 16S ribosomal RNA
Rfam family: Bacterial small subunit ribosomal RNA
Source: RNAcentral